Molecule: ribosomal RNA, 886 nt
Filed under: uncultured Pseudomonadota bacterium
Lineage: Bacteria; Pseudomonadati; Pseudomonadota
Description: bacterial SSU rRNA
Rfam family: Bacterial small subunit ribosomal RNA
Source: RNAcentral
UGAAGUCGAACGAGAAGCCCGUAGCAAUACGGGUUGUAAAGUGGCGCACGGGUGAGUAACACGUGGGUAACCUGCCCUCGAGAUCGGGAUAACCCCGCGAAAGCGGGGCUAAUACCUAAUAAGACCACGGGGACCAACGUCCCUGAGGUAAAAGGAUGGCCUCUAUUUAUAAGCUAUCGCUUGAGGAUGGGCCCGCGGCCCAUUAGCUAGUUGGUAGGGUAACGGCCUACCAAGGCUAUGAUGGGUAGCUGGUCUGAGAGGACGAUCAGCCACACUGGAACUGAGACACGGUCCAGACUCCUACGGGAGGCAGCAGUGGGGAAUAUUGCGCAAUGGGCGAAAGCCUGACGCAGCGACGCCGCGUGGGGGAUGAAGGUUCUCGGAUUGUAAACCCCUUUCGACCGGAACGAAUCCCCUCCUGGUGAACAAUCAGGAGGAUCGACGGUACCGGGAGAAGAAGCCACGGCUAACUCUGUGCCAGCAGCCGCGGUAAGACAGAGGUGGCGAGCGUUGUUCGGAUUUAUUGGGCGUAAAGCGCACGCAGGCGGUUUGGUAAGUCAGGGGUGAAAGCCCACAGCUUAACUGUGGGACUGCCUUUGAUACUGCCUUUCUCGAGUGCAUGAGGGGGAAGCGGAAUUCCGAGUGUAGAGGUGAAAUUCGUAGAUAUUCGGAGGAACACCGGUGGCGAAGGCGGCUUCCUGGCAUGUAACUGACGCUCAGGUGCGAAAGCGUGGGUAGCAAACAGGAUUAGAUACCCUGGUAGUCCACGCCCUAAACGAUGGGCACUAGUGUGGGAGUAUCGACCCCUUCCGUGCCGCAGCUAACGCAUUAAGUGCCCCGCCUGGGGAGUACGGCGCAAGGUGAAACUCAAAGGAAUUGACGGGGA